UGUGAAGACGAGCAGUUUGCAUAAGUGGA
RNAcentral lists this non-coding RNA (29 nucleotides) under Homo sapiens (human). Lineage: Eukaryota; Metazoa; Chordata; Mammalia; Primates; Hominidae. The record is from RNAcentral.